UCGAGACCGAACGAACGGACGACCGCGAACGCGUUACACAUCCUUACCCAACAAUACUCCGGCUCGUCCCGCCCCUCCUCGCGGCGCGGCGUGGCGAGACGGAGGAAACGAAACCCCGGCGCGGUGGGCGCCAAGGAACACUUUUUGGAAGCGCCGUCGCGGCCUCCCCUCCUCCCCCCAUACCUACCUUACCUACGACGUAUGUAUGUAGGUAGGGGGCGGAGGAGGAGGGGGACGCGGACGUGGAUAUAGAUAUAGAUAUCGUAUUCUGUACGACUCUCGGCAACGGAUAUCUAGGCUCUCGCAUCGAUGAAGAACGUAGCGAAAUGCGAUACUUGGUGUGAAUUGCAGAAUCCCGUGAACCAUCGAGUCUUUGAACGCAAGUUGCGCCCGAGGCCAUCCGGCCGAGGGCACGCCUGCCUGGGCGUCACGCCUCCCGUCGCUCCCCACCAUCGUCGUGCGGAUGCGGAGAUUGGCCCGCCGUGCCUCGUGCGCGGCGGGUCGAAGUGCGGGCCGUCGUCGGGCCGGGCGCGGCGAAUGGUGGACGAAUACAACAUCGUUGCCCGCUCUCCGUGCCCCGGCCCCCAGCAACGCGCGACGUGCCGUCGAAAGGACCCCUCACCGAGGACCCCCGUCCUCGGAACG
Molecule: unclassified non-coding RNA, 645 nt
Filed under: Crocus carpetanus
Lineage: Eukaryota; Viridiplantae; Streptophyta; Magnoliopsida; Asparagales; Iridaceae
Description: sequence contains ITS1, 5.8S rRNA gene and ITS2
Rfam family: 5.8S ribosomal RNA (bases 275-430)
Source: RNAcentral